CUAGAGGAAGUAAAAGUCGUAACAAGGUCUCCGUUGGUGAACCAGCGGAGGGAUCAUUACUGAGUUACCGCUCAUCAACCCUUUGUGAACAUACCUUAACUGUUGCUUCGGCGGGUAGGCGUCCCCUAAAAAGGACGUCUCCCGGCCCUCUCCCGUCCGCGGGUGGGGCGCCCGCCGGAGGAUAACCAAACUCUGAUUUAACGACGUUUCUUCUGAGUGACACAAGCAAAUAAUCAAAACUUUUAACAACGGAUCUCUUGGUUCUGGCAUCGAUGAAGAACGCAGCGAAAUGCGAUAAGUAAUGUGAAUUGCAGAAUUCAGUGAAUCAUCGAAUCUUUGAACGCACAUUGCGCCCGCCAGCAUUCUGGCGGGCAUGCCUGUUCGAGCGUCAUUUCAACCCUCAAGCUCUGCUUGGUGUUGGGGCUCUACGGUUGACGUAGGCCCUUAAAGGUAGUGGCGGACCCUCUCGGAGCCUCCUUUGCGUAGUAACAUUUCGUCUCGCAUUGGGAUUCGGAGGGACUCUAGCCGUAAAACCCCCAAUUUUACUAAGGUUGACCUCGGAUCAGGUAGGAAUACCCGCUGAACUUAAGCAUAUC
RNAcentral lists this ribosomal RNA (596 nucleotides) under Colletotrichum truncatum. RNAcentral describes it as "eukaryotic LSU rRNA". The stretch from base 238 to 391 matches the Rfam family "5.8S ribosomal RNA". The record is from RNAcentral. Lineage: Eukaryota; Fungi; Ascomycota; Sordariomycetes; Glomerellales; Glomerellaceae.